AGAUAGUUAUAGAGAAGACAGGUGGUGCAUGGUUGUCGUCAGCUCGUGUCGUGAGAUGUUGGGUUAAGUCCCGCAACGAGCGCAACCCUUGUCGUUAGUUACCAGCAGUAAGAUGGGGACUCUAACGAGACCGCCGGUGAGAAGCCGGAGGAAGACGGGGAUGACGUCAAAUCAUCAUGCCCCUUAUGACCUGGGCGACACACGUGCUACAAUGGUCGGUACAGAGAGAAGCGAAGCUGUGAAGUGGAGCGAAACUCAAAAAGCCGAUCGUAGUCCGGAUUGCAGUCUGCAACUCGACUGCAUGAAGCUGGAAUCGCUAGUAAUCGCAAGUCAGCCAUAUUGCGGUGAAUACGUUCUCGGGCCUUGUACACACCGCCCGUCACACCAUGAGAGUUGAUAACACCCGAAGCCGGUGGCCUAACGGAAACGAAGGAGCUGUCGAAGGUGGGAUUGAUGAUUGGGGUGAAGUCGUAACAAGGUAUCCCUACGGGAACGUGCGGCUGGAUCACCUC
RNAcentral lists this ribosomal RNA (512 nucleotides) under uncultured bacterium. RNAcentral describes it as "bacterial SSU rRNA". It matches the Rfam family "Bacterial small subunit ribosomal RNA", at positions 1017 to 1529 of the family's 1533-position model. The record is from RNAcentral.